This 375-nucleotide ribosomal RNA is filed under the name uncultured eukaryote. Its description in RNAcentral is "partial 18S ribosomal RNA". It matches the Rfam family "Eukaryotic small subunit ribosomal RNA", at positions 592 to 976 of the family's 1831-position model. The record is from RNAcentral.
CAGUAGCGUAUAUUAAAGUUGUUGCGGUUAAAAAGCUCGUAGUUGGAUAUUUAUUUAAGAUUGCCGAACUGAAAUUCAGAUUUGGAGGAUUUUAAAUUUAUUUUGUCUAUCUUACUGUGCUUUAUUGCGCGGUGAGAAUAGCUUAAUUUCACUUUGAGGAAAUUAGAGUGCUUCAAGCAAGUUUACGCUUUGAAUAUUUUAGCAUGGAAUAAUAACUUAGGACUUUGACUAUAUUAUAUCUUGGUAAUUCUAAAGUCAAAGUAAUGUAUAAUAGAGGUAGUUGGGGGCAUUCGUAUUUAACUGUCAGAGGUGAAAUUCUUGGAUUUGUUAAAGACGAGCAACUGCGAAAGCAUUUGCCAUGGAUGCGCUCUUUGA